UACCUGGUGACGAUAUCUAUG
Molecule: non-coding RNA, 21 nt
Filed under: Arabidopsis thaliana (thale cress)
Lineage: Eukaryota; Viridiplantae; Streptophyta; Magnoliopsida; Brassicales; Brassicaceae
Source: RNAcentral